UGACGGUCAGUCCUAGACAAAGACCAGCCAGGGUGGUCUUGCCAUUUCCUGGUCUGGGUCAGGAUCCGACCGCUUAGUGAAGCACUUAAAGCUGAUCGUUCCUUAACUGCAUAUGAAAGAUGAUUUGUCUUCCAAAUGAAAUUCUCUUCCCUUUAUCAUGCACUAUUUUUUACUAGGGCCCAUAGGGCUUUGUUCAAAAGUAGUGGACUAGAUUGGGAAUAGGUUUUCAUUUUGGAUUCAGAUCUGGAUCUUUUUGUCUCAGCAAAGAUCCCAACCUCCUUCAAGAGAGAUUUAAUCCUGUGUCAAAUCACCUCACAAACCAUGCCUGCAUUAUGACAAUAUACAUAUUAUACUACACUAAAUGAUUAUAUUAUAUUAUGAAUUUAAUAGGAGGUAAAUAUAUAUAUUCCAGAGCAGGCUGCUGAAUGCUCCCCAUCUGCGGGAUGUGGGUGACUUCCCAGGGUACUGAUGCUUUGGGACAAGGGUCAUAAUGUUACGGAAUCAGGAGUGAACAGGAAGCAAAUUCAAAAUCAUCCCAUAAGGAUUUCUGGAAAAUGUAUGAAUUUUGAGAAAGGCUUUUUGCAAUUCUAGUCGUGAGGUUGUUUGACUGUUUAUUUACGCAACUGGACGAUGAAAUCAGUUUUUUUAACUACUAAUACUACUGUCUGUAGGUCAGGUAUGUCUCAGUUAGGUUUCAACAACUGAUAUACAACACAUUGGUCAAUAUAUUCAGUACUCUUGUACUUUUAAACAGUGCUUUUAAGAUGUACAAAUUGUCUAACCCCAAAAUCUUUAACCAACAUCUGUUAUUGAUGUUUGUGCAAUACCACAGAGAGCUUGCAUGCACAAAAAAUAUUUAAGAUGAUUCUUUUUGUGCAGAACAACUCUGUGGUAUUGCUGUAUGGAGGCCAGAUGUGUUGUAGACUCAUGGCCAAAGAGAGGAGUCGCCGAAGCAGCAGCCAUGGCUAAAUACACACAGUAGUAAACAGUACGUAGCUGGAAGGGUUUCUGAAGCCUGAUUAAUAUCGACGCAACAACGCAACGCCAGAACACCAGUCCCCUACUUUAAAUACUUAGUAUAGUUACUUAGUAUGGUAGUGUUGAGUUACAAACUCGGGAGCUACACCCAACAGUGUAUUUCUCCUAUGCAAGGACACGGGCGGCCAUUUUGCGUGGCUUGGGGGCGUUUUAACGUUGCCUACUUGCGUGUGGUGUCCGUGGGGCUCAAGACAGAGACAUGAGACCAGGCCAAAGGGAGACACUGGUGUUAAAGAGCAGUAUUGCUAUUCGCCUGACUUAGCAUAUAACCCAACCUUUCUUAUAUAACUCUUUAUAUAACGCUGACUGUUCAACAAUACUCUUUUUAUCUCUUUGCAAAUAUCAUUGUAUAAAAAUGUUGUUCUCUAACAAUAAUGUAAAUGAAAACAAACAUGGUGAUGACGGACAACUGAUUUUCCUUGUCCGAAAAAAAGGCCCCUUAUUUCCUGUAAAAGGCUCGACUUUCUCGCUUUACUGUGGUGAAAAGUAGUGCUCAAUAUAGGUUAAAAGGUGUCAUAUGAAACGUAGCCAUUUUCUUUAACGGGUCUUCAGGUGAGGUUGUUUUUGUUACACAAUAUUAAUAUAUAUAUCAACAGACACCUUUUGCAGUAUUUUAUACAUCCAUUCAGAUUCUCUUGUUUAUAUUACUCUGUUUUUCUACUAUAAUAAUAAACAUCAUCGUGAUAAUAAUAAUAUUUAUGAUGAUAUAGGCCUACAUCUGUACUGAACAUGGCUGUUGGCAGAAUGCUCUGCUUGGUGUAGGGUGAAGUUGCCCCUGAACGCUGAUCUUGUGUCAGUUUAGCGUUUCCCACGCUAAUCAAGACUAGGCCAAGUUUGGGAUUAGUGUAGGGGAAACUGAACCUAGAUCUGUACCUAUGGGAAACUUUGCUACUUUCUGUUCUGGUACGGAAGCUGUCUUUUUCAGCGCGGUGUCACCAGUUCAGGGUCGGUUAGCCUCCAGUUCACUUCCGGGUUGUGUUAGUGUUGUCUUGCCGACGUGAGGUCAUGUGAGUAAGCUGACACCUGUUAAAACCUCUCCAGUGCUGUCUGUCAUUGGUCUACCAACAUCAUUCCACAAUGAGUUGGCAAGAUGGCACAAAACAGACUAGCAGCCAGGCUAAGAGAUACUUUGCUUGCAUUGCAUCAUAGCCUGGGCAUCAGUGUGUUUGUGCUUGCAUUCCCCUCUCCUUGCAUUCCGUGUCAUAUAUUUGACAUGACAUGGAGUGGCAAGAAUGGAAUAAUAGCACAACCAGGUCUGGUUCCAGGCAACAUUAUACCUAAGAAGUUGGUGACAACCUGCCGCUUUGUCUUGCUAAGUUUAUCUGUGCUCUGUCUCAGCGCACAGAUCCAUUACAGUGAAAUGUAUUUUUUCUUUUUCAAGAAUUUGUUUUGUUUUCAUAAUGCACUCUAUGCUAUGUAUCUAUUCCUGUGGCCUUUUUCUCAAUAGAAUAUAUCAAAGCUGAUAUGCAAAGUUGUUUUUCCUAAAUAUAUUAUAGCAUUAUUGCAGAAGACGACAGUUAGUAUUUUACAUGCCUGUUAGGAUUUCAUCCUUGAAAUCGGAACACAGUCACAAAAGUCCCACUUCGUCCCAAAUGGUACAUUAUUUACUUUAUACUUUUGACAUUGACAUCAUAGAGCUCCAGUCAAAAGUAUUACAUAAUGAUUAGGGUGCCAUUUUGAACAUUAUCUUGAGCUACAUCUUAGGGUUGAAAUGUAUUUCAGUACAAAGCUUCUUCUUUUUUAAAAGAUAUCCUUGAUUUCAAGCUGCUUCGUGUGUUUGUGUCUUUAUAACUAUGAAAGAUACAUCAUCAGUGUUGUUCUGUUUUUGUAUAUUUGCCAGAACACAGGAAACAUGUUUUCUGGGUCAUUUUAUUGUAUCUACAUCCUGGUACCAAGCAUACGUCCUCAUUAGCACCCUAUUCCAAAUGUACCUCCCUACUUUGGUCAAAAAUAGGGCACUGGAGGGAAAAGUGGUGCAAUAUGUAGGGAUUAGGGUGGUAUUAGGCACCGAGACGGAACAGUGUUGGAGAGGGAGGGAGUGAUGGAAAGAAAAGAGGAAAAAAAAGAAUAGAAAGUGAAUGAUGUAAGAAAAGUUAAUCUUACCUCACAGAGGGAAUUUUCAGGGAUUUUUUUGGACAAUGAUGCAUCUUCUGCUUUGUGUAACAGCUUUACGCCAGUUCAGCAGCUGUUUUUUUAUGUGUGCAUUUGAUUAAAAUCCACCCUACACUGGGUUUGUCAACAGGGCAGUUGGACAUUCUGAUGAUGGAUGUGUGACAAUGGAUGUGUGAUGAUGGAUGUUUGAUGGCUCAGCGUAUUGUGUAGAAACCAACACCAGACAUGUUUAUACUGCAAAUAAAUAUGGAAUUAUUUUUUCUUUAACGUGUAAUUGACUCUUGUAUGUGCGUGCGUGCGUGCGUGCGGCCAUCUGUGUGUGUCG
Esox lucius (northern pike) is the source of this 3475-nucleotide long non-coding RNA. The record is from Ensembl. NCBI's taxonomy places the organism in Eukaryota, Metazoa, Chordata, Actinopteri, Esociformes, Esocidae.